This 2023-nucleotide ribosomal RNA is filed under the name Thermodesulfobacteriota bacterium. RNAcentral's name for it is "bacterial LSU rRNA". It matches the Rfam family "Archaeal large subunit ribosomal RNA", at positions 997 to 2987 of the family's 2987-position model. The record is from RNAcentral. Lineage: Bacteria; Pseudomonadati; Thermodesulfobacteriota.
GCGUUUAGGGGGAGAAAUCCCUCGGCGUUCUGUCAAACUCCGAACCUAUCAGCGCCGUAGAUCCUCGGAGUGAGGUAGCGGGGUAAGCUCGCUUACCGAGAGGGAACCAACCCAGACCAAAGUUAAGGUCCCUAAGUGUUGGCUAAGUGGCAAAGGUGUCCUUGUCCUAAAACAGCGGGGAGAUAGGCUUAGAAGUAGCCAUUCUUUAAAGAGUGUGUAACAGCUCACCCGUCUAGGUCAAGGGCCCUGAAAAUGGACGGGAAUCAAGUCAACCACCGAUACUUUGGAGCUCGAAAGAGUCUAGUAGGGAGGUGCUCUGAUAGGGUAGAAGUUGGGCCGUAAGGUCCAGUGGACCUGUUAGAGAUAUAGAUCCUGCCAGUAGUAGCAGCAAAGCAGGGUGAGAAUCCCUGUCACCGAAAGGGCUAGGGUUCCUCAGCAAUGUUCGUCAGCUGAGGGUUAGUCGAUCCUAAGAGCUGUCCUAAUUAGAGCAGCCCGAAAGGGAAGCAGGUUAAUAUUCCUGCACCACAAAGAUACAUGCGGUAACGCAAGUCCAAUUUCAGACAGUUCGGGGUAAGUCAAGUAACAUCGUCGUGUUAUCUAAUUGUAUAAGCCAGCGGAGUCGUGUAAUACGGAGAAACUGGUGAAAGCAAGCAUGGCCUGACAUUUUUGUCGGGUUUGACCGAUCUCUGGACUCUGUGAAAAUGAAAUUGGAAUGAAUUCUUUGUGUUCGUACCCAGAACUGACACAGGUGCCCCUAGGUGAGAAGCCUAAGGUGUGUUGGGGUACCCCAGUUGAGGGAAUUCGGCAAAUUGGCUCCGUAACUUUGGGAUAAGGAGUGCGCACUGUCCUGCAAGGGACAGUGCGUCGCAGUGACCAAGAGACUCCGUCUGUUUAAUAAAAACAUAGCAAACUGCUAGACCGUAAGGUUUUGUACAGUUUGUGAGGCCUGCCCAGUGUCGGUAUGUUAAACCUCUGUUCAAGGGGGCUAAGCACCGAUAAACGGCGGGAGUAACUAUAACUCUCUUAAGGUAGCGUAAUACCUUGCCGCUUAAUUGGCGGCUUGCAUGAAUGGCAGAACGAGAGUCUUGCUGUCCCCAACUGGGCCCCAGUGAACCUACUCCUCUGGCGCACAAGCCAGAGUCCCCCGCCGGGAGGCGAAGACCCCGUGGAAUUUUACUGCAGUUUCUUGCUGCGUCAUGGUUCUUGUUGUACAGUGUAGGUGGGAGCCAUCGAAACCUUGCCGCCAGGUAAGGUGGAGGCGCCGUUGGGACACCACCCUUUAAGAACUAUGUCGCUCAUCGCAUUGCGAGACACCAAGAGAUGGGCAGUUUGGCUGGGGCGGCACGCCCUUGAGAAAGUAUCAAGGGCGCCCUAAAGUCGGCUCAAACGGGUCAGAAAUCCGUUGAAGAGUGCAAGGGCAAAAGCCGGCCUGACUGGAUUCUGCUCAGUAGAGAAUCCAGAGGCGAAAGCCGGGCCUAGCGAACAUCAAUACCCUCAGUGAUGGGGGUUUGAUCUCACAGAAAAAUUACCCCGGGGAUAACAGGGUUGUCGCGAGCAAGAGCACGCAUCGACCUCGCGGCUUGCUACCUCGCUGUCGGUUUUUUCCAUCCUGGGUCUGCAUCAGGACCCAAGGGUGGGGUUGUUCGCCCAUUAAAGGAGAACAUGAGCUGGGUUUAGAACGUCGUGAGACAGUUUGGAUGCUAUCUGACGGGGGUGCUGGGUGUCUGAAGGGAAGGUAGUCUCAGUACGAGAGGAACAGGCCGCCGUGGCCUCUGGUGUACCGGUUGUCCGACAGGGCAGCGCCGGGUAGCUACGCCAUAACCGAUAAGGGCUGAAAGCAUCUAAGCCCGAAGCGGUCCCUGAAAAGAGACACCCGCUCUCUGGUAUAUAAUGGGGCUGGUGACAGCAACAUUACCAGAGACGAGGACACUUCUAUAAGAGAAGGUUGAUAGGCUGGGGAUGCAAGCACCAAGGGCAACCGAGGUGUUAAGUCCACCAGUACUAAUAGUCCAAGGCAUGAAAC